This 470-nucleotide ribosomal RNA is filed under the name uncultured bacterium. RNAcentral describes it as "bacterial SSU rRNA". It matches the Rfam family "Bacterial small subunit ribosomal RNA", at positions 328 to 794 of the family's 1533-position model. The record is from RNAcentral.
GUGCCAGACUCCUACGGGAGGCAGCAGUGAGGGAUAUUGGUCAAUGGGCGGAAGCCUGAACCAGCCAAGUCGCGUGAGGGAAGAAGGCCCUGCGGGUCGCAGACCUCUUUGGACGGGGAGCAAGGCCGCCGACGUGUCGGCGGAAGGAGAGUACCCGUAGAACAAGCAUCGGCUAACUCCGUGCCAGCAGCCGCGGUAAUACGUAGGUGGCAAGCGUUAUCCGGAUUUACUGGGUGUAAAGGGCGUGUAGGCGGGUCUGCAAGUCAGAUGUGAAAUUCCAGGGCUCAACCCUGGACCUGCAUUUGAAACUGUAGAUCUUGAGUGAUGGAGAGGCAGGCGGAAUUCCGUGUGUAGCGGUGAAAUGCGUAGAUAUACGGAGGAACACCAGUGGCGAAGGCGGCCUGCUGGACAUUAACUGACGCUGAGGCGCGAAAGCGUGGGGAGCAAACAGGAUUAGAUACCCUUGUACA